GUAACACGUGAGCAACCUGCCUUCCGGCGGGGGACAACUCCGAGAAAUCGGGGCUAAUACCGCAUACGUUCCUUAGAUCGCAUGGUCUUUGGAAGAAAAGUGGGGGAUCCUUCGGGACCUCGCACCGGAAGAGGGGCUCGCGGCCGAUUAGCUUGUUGGUGGGGUAACGGCCCACCAAGGCUUCGAUCGGUAGCUGGUUUGAGAGGAUGGUCAGCCACACUGGGAUUGAGAUACGGCCCAG
Molecule: ribosomal RNA, 241 nt
Filed under: uncultured bacterium
Lineage: Bacteria
Description: partial 16S ribosomal RNA
Rfam family: Bacterial small subunit ribosomal RNA
Source: RNAcentral